GAUGAACGCUGACAGAAUGCUUAACACAUGCAAGUCGACUCGAGUCUUCGGACUUGGGUGGCGCACGGGUGAGUAACGCGUAAAGAACUUGCCUCUUAGACCGGGACAACAUCUGGAAACGGAUGCUAAUACCGGAUAUUAUGGUUUUUUCGCAUGGAGGAAUCAUGAAAGCUGGAUGCGCUAAGAGAGAGCUUUGCGUCCCAUUAGCUAGUUGGUGAGGUAACGGCCCACCAAGGCAAUGAUGGGUAGCCGGCCUGAGAGGGUGAACGGCCACAAGGGGACUGAGACACGGCCCUUACUCCUACGGGAGGCAGCAGUGGGGAAUAUUGGACAAUGGACCGCAAGUCUGAUCCAGCAAUUCUGUGUGCACGAUGACGUUUUUCGGAAUGUAAAGUGCUUUCAGUCGGGAAGAAGUCAGUGACGGUACCGACAGAAGAAGCGACGGCUAAAUACGUGCCAGCAGCCGCGGUAAUACGUAUGUCGCAAGCGUUAUCCGGAUUUAUUGGGCGUAAAGCGCGUCUAGGCGGCAAGGAAAGUCUGAUGUGAAAAUGCGGAGCUCAACUCCGUAUGGCGUUGGAAACUGCUUUACUAGAGUACUGGAUAGGUAGGCGGAACUACAAGUGUAGAGGUGAAAUUCUUAUAAUAUUUGUAGGAAAUGCCGAUGGGGGAAUCCAGCCUACUUGACGGAUUACUGGACGCUAUGGCGCGAAUAUUGGGGUAGCAAACAGGAAUAGAUACCCUGGGUGUCCUAUGUCGAAUUCCUCAUUGUAGAUCAGUUUGUUGUGUCGCUACCGCCGCGCGGGGAAAUAAAAAACUAAAUUUUUUUUAUUGUUUAUUGGGGUUGUUUCUGUGUGUGUGUUGUUUUUUGUUUGUUUUGUGUGUGUGUGUGGAAAAAAAUGUUGACUGAUGCCUGUUGUGCUGUGUGUGUUGUUUUGUGUACUGUGAUAGUUGUCUGUCUUGUGUGUUUGU
RNAcentral lists this ribosomal RNA (969 nucleotides) under uncultured Fusobacterium sp. RNAcentral's name for it is "bacterial SSU rRNA". The stretch from base 1 to 825 matches the Rfam family "Bacterial small subunit ribosomal RNA". The record is from RNAcentral. Lineage: Bacteria; Fusobacteriati; Fusobacteriota; Fusobacteriia; Fusobacteriales; Fusobacteriaceae.